UACAGAGGUGGCAAGCGUUGUUCGGAAUUACUGGGCGUAAAGGGCGCGUAGGCGGCCAUCUAAGUCAGACGUGAAAUCCCCCGGCUUAACCGGGGAACUGCGUCUGAUACUGGAUGGCUUGAGGUUGGGAGAGGGAUGCGGAAUUCCAGGUGUAGCGGUGAAAUGCGUAGAUAUCUGGAGGAACACCGGUGGCGAAGGCGGCAUCCUGGACCAAUUCUGACGCUGAGGAGCGAAAGCCAGGGGAGCAAACGGG
This 253-nucleotide ribosomal RNA is filed under the name uncultured bacterium. RNAcentral describes it as "partial 16S ribosomal RNA". It matches the Rfam family "Bacterial small subunit ribosomal RNA", at positions 524 to 776 of the family's 1533-position model. The record is from RNAcentral.